UGUGAAUUGAUAAACUCACUUCCAUGCAUAUCAUGUGGCUAAAAUGGAGCACAAGCUUUCUCUAUAUCCAAUCCACAGUUAACAUGCAAAAUUGGUAGUUCUCAACAUUUGUCAUUCAAAUUUCGCAGAAAUAUAAGAUGGAAGUCCACAGAUACUGUAACACUAAACAUAAAACAAAGGCAUUUUAUAAUGUUAAAAAUCAUACCAUUACUUUGAACCAUAAACCACAGAGAUGAAGCAUUUUUAUGUUUUCAGGCGACCGCAUCUUUCCUAGAGAAAAUGGGCUCUUAAAUAGAGAGCAGAGCUUUGCUUAAUAAAUUUCAGUUGUGUAAUGUUAAAAAUGCCAUUAAUCAAACCUCUAAUGAUUACAUUCUGUAGUGAAUAACUUGUACAAUUAUCUGCCAAAAAAAGGACAAGAAUUAUGGAACCAGAGCCUACAGAUCCGCUAAUUCAUUCUCCAAUCCAAUGAUAUAUACAGCAAAAUAACCAAUCAUCAUAGACAAUAGAACCCUUAAGCUUAAAUACAUUAAUCUCCUUUUCUUUUUCUCUUUCUUUUUCUUUUUUAAAUUUAUUUACGCUGCAAGAAUCAGUACUUUAAUUGUACCCUGGCUAUUUGCAGCUAGCAUCGUAGGGCUGUCACUCUUCCAGCAGACAGCACUAAUAAAGUAAGAUCCGGCAUCCUCAUCGGCAUCAUCCAUUUCAGGUGAACCAAAUCUGUGCCAUGUAACAGGUUUGGAGAUUUCCUUGUGGUAGACAAAAACAUCAUUUGUUUCGCUGCCACAUGCAAUGUAAUCAUAGUUUACUGAGAGGCCUACAAAAUUUUUUUCAUUUGUGUGGCCUCUGAAGGUACGAACUGGCACAUUAUCCUUUACAUCCCAUAAUCGUAAUGUACUGUCUGUAGAUGCUGAAGCAAGCUCAUUGUUAGACAAGAAUUUCACAUAUGAAACAGCUUUACGAUGUCCACUGAACACAUGGAGCGGAUGGCUGAUAUUUCUCAAGUCAUAGUAGUGAAUGUGGUGGUCUGCUGAACCAACCGCAAUGUAAUUGCUAAAUCCAGGAUUAUACUUGACGCAGCAAAUAUUCGCUUUCAUGUCAAUGUUGAUAACACUGGCUUCCUGAUUUGUGCACCAAACUUUGACCUUACAAUCAUCACUACCAGACACAAGCAUUGAGGGUUCGGUACGAGAAAAGUCAACACUCCAUGCACGUUUUUCAUGCUCUUCAUAUUCCAUCACACUCUGCCUAGUUGUCACAUCCCAAACAGUUACUAUACCCUCAUAAUCACUACUAGCUAUCUGAUUCUUAGCAUACUUGUUCCAACUCAAGCAGCUAAGCUUAGAACGUGUUGACAUCUCAACAACAGGGCAAUGAACAUCAGCAGGGUCAUUCAGAACCGUGGAGAAGUCAAAAACUUUGAUUCGCCUUGAAACUCCAGCAGUAGCAAACAGUUCAUCGUCACGGUCAAAUUCUAUGCUUGACACUAUAUUGGCAGAGUGAAAUAUAUCCCCAUGCCUGAGUUCAGCAAUGACCCUUAAACGACUAUAUUGAGUGAAGGUACUCAGCACAGAUUGAAAAUCUACAAGACCUGAGCUGUAGCCCUCUCUAUGAAUGAUAUUUUUAUCACUUUCUUGCUGUUUAUGUGGUUGGGUUGUCAACAGUCGACGCUUUUGCAGAUAACAUUCUUGUAGGUCAUUGAACUGUGCAUGGACCCGCUUUUUCCUCACCACAGAUAGCCCUGACUGAUUAUGCUGUGAGUCAGACCCACUUAAAGUAUCCUUUCUCUGGAGCCCAUGAGAGCUUACUUGAGACUUGCCAUCCAUUUUCUUAGUUGGAAGAUUCCCUGCAGUCACCCCUCCUCUCGCACUAAAAGAACUGCUGAUGGCACCCCCACUAUUCUUAUCUAAUGUUGAAGGCCAUGGUUUUCUUACAUUGGGAUCAUCUCCAAGCAUCCACAAUUUCAUAGAAUACCUGUCUCUAACACGGUAUAACUCAAUUCUAUGUCUCUCAACAGCGUCUAUGUCCUCCUUAAUAUAUUGGAGAUCAGUCCGUACCUCAUUCAAUUCAUCAACUUUUUGCUUCCGUAAGUAGAGUAAGAAGUCUAGCAAUAUUUGCAUAUUUCUCUCAGCUUCUUCUUGCUCCAUUUUUCUUUUCUUCUCAGCAAGCAGUGACAUAAGGUUGUCCACAUCCUUAAUUGAAAUUUCACAACCCUGUUGCAGUGCCUGGAGAAAACGCUCAACCGGUGAUGCAUUUUUUGAUGUUUGACGGGCAGAAACCUUCUUCAAUAGCUUGUCGAGCAAGAAAUUAGGGAAGAGCUGGUUGCUAGUGAGGUAAUGGCCGCAGCAAGGGCAAUCGCUCUUGUUGCGGAGGUGAGUAAUUAUACACAUAUAGCAAAAGCUGUGGCCACAAGCUGUGAGAAACGCGUCUUUUAUAAUUUGCAUGCAAAUCGGGCAUAGGAAAUCCUUCUCCAGCUCUGAUGACCCCGUGUCCUUCGGUCCCGCCUGCUCGGUGUGCGCCCCUGAGGCCGCUGCUGCAGCGGCGAAGGAAGCAGAUGAUCUAGGCUCUGACUUCACAGCCGGAACUAUGGCCCCCGUUGAGACCUCUUCCAUAGGUGUAAUUUUUUCACUCUGCUUCGUAUUCUGCUCGGUUUGGGUUUGUGUUUGGUCUGCAAAACAGCAUUUAGUGAUUCGUUUUUGCAGAAUGAUACGAGGAGAGAGGGAAG
This 2719-nucleotide unclassified non-coding RNA is filed under the name Hevea brasiliensis (rubber tree). Lineage: Eukaryota; Viridiplantae; Streptophyta; Magnoliopsida; Malpighiales; Euphorbiaceae. The record is from RNAcentral.